Molecule: ribosomal RNA, 433 nt
Filed under: uncultured bacterium
Lineage: Bacteria
Description: partial 16S ribosomal RNA
Rfam family: Bacterial small subunit ribosomal RNA
Source: RNAcentral
GACGAACGCUGGCGGCGUGCCUAACACAUGCAAGUCGAACGAGACCGUCGGUUCUUUUGGCGUAUGGGUGCGUGACGCGCGAGAAGCUGCCCAUAGGGUCGGAAUAACUCCCCGAAAGGGGUGCUAACACCGGAUAAUGGCUUCGGACCAAUGAUUUAUGGCCUCUGGAUGGUCCCGCGUUGGAUUAGAUUGUUGGUAGGGUAAAAGCAGCCCAAGGGGCCGAUCCACAGCUGGUCUGGGUGGAUGAUCCGCCACACUGGGACUGAGACGCGGCCGAGACUCCUACGGGAGGCAGGAGAGGGGAAUGUUGGACAGUGGGCGAAGGCCUGAUGCAGCAAUGCGGGGUGAGUGAUGCAGGCGUUAGGGAUGAAAAGCUCUAUUACCCGGGAUGGUAAUGACGGUACCGGGAGAAAAAGCGCCGGCUAACUACGUG